GCCUGUAGCUUCAUCCCUGCACAAUCUAAUCCGUCAACGGGCAAAGAUCAGAGAUAAGUGUGACCGCAAAAUUCUAACAAUCUGAUGACCUAUUCCUAAGAAUAGGUGUCCAUGGUGAUAGCGAAGAAUAAAUCAUCAUGUGGUUUAAGGGUUUCCCAAAUGAGGAAGAUUCCAACUGUCAUGAUUUCUACACAUUAAAAUCUGGAUCAUGAAUCUAUUGCCAUCCAUCAUGUACAUCACAGCCCUUCAGUUUAUAGGAGACAAUAGAAUUUGCCAGAAGAUUUUUAAAGUAUUAUACAACUCUAAUUACAAAGUCACUAUGGCUUCUUAAGAAGCAAUUUAAAAGAACUAUACUCCAAUGCAGAUGACCUUCCUUCUGAC
Molecule: long non-coding RNA, 381 nt
Filed under: Phoenix dactylifera (date palm)
Lineage: Eukaryota; Viridiplantae; Streptophyta; Magnoliopsida; Arecales; Arecaceae
Description: long non-coding RNA (PDAC_LNC010200)
Source: RNAcentral